AUGCAGCUAUAUAAUCCAGAGGUUGGAGUACCAAUAGGAAAUGAAAACAAAUGCUUUGUACUACGAGCAGCCUUUGAAGGUGACCAGAUAACUGUCUUCACUGUGACCAGUCAGAGCCCCUGCUUGCUUGUGAAGAAGGAGCUUUUGUGCGUUACUGGAGAUGCCACCUCAGAAGUUCACACUGUGCAGGAAAAAGGUUUUAUUCUCUUCUGGCAUACGUUAGAAUGUCAGAUGCCUGCAUCUGUGUGGACCGCAAUGGGCCUCUCAAAUUUGGUGGGCAGGGGGUUGCUUACGAGUUUUCUUUGAAAGCUGAUUUUACUCCUGGACAUAAUAAAUGCCCCUUGAGCCUUGUGAGAUACAAAUGCACAUGGAUAAAAUGUGAGAGAGUGGAAUUUGACAGAGGAUUCCAGGAAGAGGCCCCCGUGUCUAUGCAGUCCUGGUUCCAGACAGGUGAGAAGCUCCAGGAACUACUGGCUACCUUGACAAACUGGGUAAUUAGUUAUUCUAGGCAACUGGUGGAAACUUCUGACUUUUGGACAAGUAACUACUUUGGUAGCAUCACCAGGGAUGUCUGAGUGGGACAGACAAAGGACACACAGCUGCCGUUUCUCUCCUGCCAGCAUGUUUGGCGCACUAGGUUAAGCUAUACUCAGCAAUCUAGGAAAUGUAACCCUUCUCAAAACUGGCCAUUUUCAGGGGAAUCUUGGGAGAGCAAUAGCAUGGUGAGCCUCUUACGGAUGAGGACCCGCUCCACCUUGGAGAAUCCUGCCUUCAGAUGCCUUCCCAGUGUUCACCCCAUCUAGUAAGAUUGUAUUUCCAGUACACUUCCUUAGGGUGGAAACACCAUCCUGUCAGUUUUGGUCAGUCCCUUCUUCAUGAAGAGUCAUGGUGAAUUCCUGAAAAUGUUCUUCCUUCUACAGACAGGUGGAGGGGGACCCUAGAGAAGGCAUCCAGAGACAUAACCCAACUGAAUAUCACCCCCAUGUAGAUUUUAGGAAUUGACUCUAAAACUCUGUGCAGAAUCUUGUGUUGGGAUUGUAUCUUGACAUUCCUGUUAUGUUGUUUUUCUUAACUGGAGUGUGUGCUGCCUUUCAGGUACAAUUUUUGUGUAAUAAAAGCCAGUGCAUUUAGUUUAUAUAGACUACUUUCUAUGCAAGACCGAGAUAUGGAAUAGAUAGCAAGCAGGAGAUAUGUACUGUUGGGUACAUGGACAAUAAGUAUGUUUUCAGAUGGAAUACCAGCACCGAAAACAGGUUGAGGGAGGAUGGGUUGUAUAUAUGUUUCUGCCCACUAAUUUUGAGCAGCCAUGUUAUGAAUUAAAUCAUCACUGACAAGUAAUAACCCAAGAAUGGUAUUAGUUUCAUGUGUAAUAGCUCAAAUGGAAUAAGCAUGAAUGCUGGAGUGGAACAUUAUCCUCAGAUAUUCUAUGUCAUUUUUCAUUUAAAGACUCUUGUUAUGAACUAUUAGAAACUUUAGGCAAAAUCAAAAGUAUUCGCAGCAAAAUAAAGGCCUACUCUGCUCUUAUUUAAAGUGAAACACUGUAUACUUGUUUCGCUCCAAAGUGAAAUUAGGUAUUUAUAAUUUCAAUUGCCUUGAUAAGUUUCCAAGUCACUGAUUUCUGCUGAAGGUUUUACUAUAUUGUUGCACAAUUUUAAGAUAAUUUUUGUCUCAAUGUCAACUUUUUUCACUGAAUAAAAAUUUAACUGGGUCAAGAAAACACCUAUUUGAAAA
Molecule: non-coding RNA, 1731 nt
Organism: Callithrix jacchus (white-tufted-ear marmoset)
Lineage: Eukaryota; Metazoa; Chordata; Mammalia; Primates; Cebidae
Source: RefSeq, a predicted model, not a curated record